RNAcentral lists this ribosomal RNA (736 nucleotides) under uncultured Glomus. RNAcentral describes it as "SSU rRNA". It matches the Rfam family "Eukaryotic small subunit ribosomal RNA", at positions 365 to 1101 of the family's 1831-position model. The record is from RNAcentral. Lineage: Eukaryota; Fungi; Glomeromycota; Glomeromycetes; Glomerales; Glomeraceae.
GGGUGUUAGGGCACGACACCGGAGAGGGAGCCUGAGAACGGCUACCACAUCCAGGAUGGCAGCAGGCGCGCAAAUUACCCAAUCCCAACACGGGGAGGUAGUGACAAUAAAUAACAAUACGGGGUUCUUUCGGAUUUCGUAAUUGGAAUGAGUACAAUUUAAAUCUCUUAACGAGGAACAAUUGGAGGGCAAGUCUGGUGCCAGCAGCCGCGGUAAUUCCAGCUCCCAAUAGGCGUAUAUUAAAGUUGUUGCAGUUAAAAAGCUCGUAGUUGAAUUUCGGGAUCGAUUAAUUGGUCGUGCCUCUGGUACGUACUGAUUUUAUUGGUUUCUCCCUUCUGACGAACCAUGAUGUCAUUAAUUUGAUGUCGUGGAGAAUCAGGACUGUUACUUUGAAAAAAUUAGAGUGUUUAAAGCAAGCUAACGCUUGAAUACAUUAGCAUGGAAUAAUGAAAUAGGACGUUUGAUCCUAUUUUGUUGGUUUCUAGGAUCGACGUAAUGAUUAAUAGGGAUAGUUGGGGGGCAUUAGUAUUCAAUUGUCAGAGGUGAAAUUCUUGGAUUUUAUUGAAGACUAACUACUGCGAAAGCAUUUGCCAAGGAUGUUUUCAUUAAUCAAGAACGAAAGUUAGGGGAUCGAAGACGAUCAGAUACCGUCGUAGUCUUAACCAUAAACUAUGCCGACUAGGAUCGGGAUGAUGUUUAAUUUUUUAAUGACUCAGUCGCGCCUACGGAAACCAUG